RNAcentral lists this ribosomal RNA (497 nucleotides) under uncultured bacterium. RNAcentral's name for it is "partial 16S ribosomal RNA". It matches the Rfam family "Bacterial small subunit ribosomal RNA", at positions 28 to 507 of the family's 1533-position model. The record is from RNAcentral.
GAUGAACGCUGGCGGCGUGCCUAAUACAUGCAAGUCGAGCGAACAGACGAGGAGCUUGCUCCUCUGACGUUAGCGGCGGACGGGUGAGUAACACGUGGAUAACCUACCUAUAAGACUGGGAUAACUUCGGGAAACCGGAGCUAAUACCGGAUAAUAUAUUGAACCGCAUGGUUCAAUAGUGAAAGACGGUUUUGCUGUCACUUAUAGAGGGAUCCGCGCCGCAUUAGCUAGUUGGUAAGGUAACGGCUUACCAAGGCAACGAUGCGUAGCCGACCUGAGAGGCUGAUCGGCCACACUGGAACUGAGACACGGUCCAGACUCCUACGGGAGGCAGCAGUAGGGAAUCUUACGCAAUGGGCGAAAGCCUGACGGAGCAACGCCGCGUGAGUGAUGAAGGUCUUCGGAUCGUAAAACUCUGUUAUUAGGGAAGAACAAAUGUGUAAGUAAAUAUGCACGUCUUGACGGUACCUAAUCAGAAAGCCACGGCUAACUACGUG